UAACGGCGAGUGAAGCGGCAACAGCUCAAAUUUGAAAUCUGGCCUCCUUUGGGGGUCCGAGUUGUAAUUUGCAGAGGGCGCUUUGGCGUCGGUAGCGGUCUAAGUUCCUUGGAACAGGACGUCACAGAGGGUGAGAAUCCCGUACGUGGUCGCCUACCUUCGCCGUGUAAAGCCCCUUCGACGAGUCGAGUUGUUUGGGAAUGCAGCUCUAAAUGGGAGGUAAAUUUCUUCUAAAGCUAAAUACUGGCCAGAGACCGAUAGCGCACAAGUAGAGUGAUCGAAAGAUGAAAAGCACUUUGGAAAGAGAGUCAAACAGCACGUGAAAUUGUUGAAAGGGAAGCGCUUGCCGCCAGACGUGCCCGUGGUGGUUUUCCUCCGCGGGCAGGCCAGCAUCAGUUUGGGCGAUCGGAGAAGGGCCUCUGUCAUGUAUCUUCCUUCGGGAUGACCUUAUAGGGGAGGCGUAGUACGAUCAGCCCGGACUGAGGUCCGCGCAUCUGCUAGGAUGCUGGCGUAAUGGCUGUAAGCGGCCCGUCUUGAAACACGGACCAAGGAGUCUAACAUCUAUGCGAGUGUUUGGGUGUCAAGCCCGAGCGCGCAAUGAAAGUGAACGGAGGUGGGAACCCUCUCUGGGGGUGCACCAUCGACCGAUCCUGAAGUCUUCGGAUGGAUUUGAGUAAGAGCAUAGCUGUUGGGACCCGAAAGAUGGUGAACUAUGCUUGAAUAGGGUGAAGCCAGAGGAAACUCUGGUGGAGGCUCGCAGCGGUUCUGACGUGCAAAUCGAUCGUCAAAUUUGGGCAUAGGGGCGAAAGACUAAUCGAACUAUCUAGUAGCUGGUUCCUGCCGAAGUUUCCCUCAGGAUAGCAGUAACGUAUUCAGUUUUAUGAGGUAAAGCGAAUGAUUAGAGGCCUGGGGGUUGAAACAACCUUCACCUAUUCUCAAACUUUAAAUAUGUAAGAAGUCC
RNAcentral lists this ribosomal RNA (961 nucleotides) under Cheiromyces inflatus. RNAcentral describes it as "eukaryotic LSU rRNA". It matches the Rfam family "Eukaryotic large subunit ribosomal RNA", at positions 84 to 1083 of the family's 3401-position model. The record is from RNAcentral. Lineage: Eukaryota; Fungi; Ascomycota; Dothideomycetes; Pleosporales.